This 396-nucleotide ribosomal RNA is filed under the name uncultured bacterium. RNAcentral describes it as "bacterial SSU rRNA". It matches the Rfam family "Bacterial small subunit ribosomal RNA", at positions 28 to 424 of the family's 1533-position model. The record is from RNAcentral.
GAUGAACGCUGGCGGCGUGCCUAACACAUGCAAGUCGAACGUGAGAGGGUAGCAAUAUCCUUGAAAGUGGCGCACGGGUGAGUAAGACGUAGGUGACCUGCCCUGGAGUGGGGGGAUAACAGCUGGAAACGGCUGCUAAUACCGCAUAUUACCGGAACACUGGGAAGUGUACUGGUAAAAACUCUGGUGCUUCAGGAGGGGCCUGCGGCCGAUUAGCUAGUUGGCGGGGUAAGAGCCCACCAAGGCGACGAUCGGUAGCUGGUCUGAGAGGACGAUCAGCCACACGGGAACUGAGACACGGUCCCGACUCCUACGGGGGGCAGCAGUGAGGAAUAUUGGGCAAUGGGCGAAAGCCUGACCCAGCAACGCCGCGUGGAGGAAGACGGCCUUCGGGUU